UGAGGAAUAUUGGUCAAUGGGCGGGGAGCCUGAACCAGCCAAGCCGCGUGAGGGAAGAAGGUACAGCGUAUCAUAAACCUCUUUUGUCAGGGAACAAAGGCGGGGACUAGUCCCCGGAUGAAGGUACCUGAAGAAAAAGCAUCGGCUAACUCCGUGCC
This 158-nucleotide ribosomal RNA is filed under the name uncultured bacterium. RNAcentral describes it as "partial 16S ribosomal RNA". It matches the Rfam family "Bacterial small subunit ribosomal RNA", at positions 355 to 509 of the family's 1533-position model. The record is from RNAcentral.